Molecule: ribosomal RNA, 253 nt
Filed under: uncultured bacterium
Lineage: Bacteria
Description: partial 16S ribosomal RNA
Rfam family: Bacterial small subunit ribosomal RNA
Source: RNAcentral
UACGGAGGGGGCAAGCGUUAUUCGGAAUUAUUGGGCGUAAAGGGCGCGUAGGCGGCUAGAUGUGUCAAAGGUGAAAUCCCUCGGCUCAACUGAGGAACUGCCUUUGAAACUGUCUGGCUUGAGGCCGGGAGAGGGUAGCGGAAUUCCCGGUGUAGCGGUGAAAUGCGUAGAUAUUGGGAAGAACACCGGUGGCGAAGGCGGCUCUCUGGACCGAUACUGACGCUGAGGCGCGAAAGCGUGGGGAGCAAACAGG